This is a non-coding RNA of Drosophila melanogaster (fruit fly), 480 nucleotides long. Lineage: Eukaryota; Metazoa; Arthropoda; Insecta; Diptera; Drosophilidae. The record is from Ensembl.
GUCUUACGUAGGCCGCCGUUAAAGAAAGUUCCCAAAAGCUCUGGGAAAGCUUCGCUCAAGCCCUCUCUGCGGUUCUCCUCCCAGUUUAUUAAUUGCUGGGUCAGGGGUUCAUUUAAGCCAGAUUAGCAUCGCCGGAUUCUUGGGCUGGCUUCUCCCAUUGAAUAAAAAUGUAGGAGACGCGGCACCUUCUCACGAUCGUUGUAGAGGAUUUCGGGAGAAGCUGACCUCUUGAACCUCCCAAGUUACUGUGCUGCGCCCAAGUAACCUCUGACGCAGCACAAAAUCGGAUCAUCAAAACCGUUGAUGAGUAAUGGACAUCACACAUUCCAAGCGUUACCAAUAGCCAAGGCAGCCAGGUAUGACACACUGUGCGAUAAUCAAGCCAAUAAACCAACACCCAAAAUGAAAACAUACAGAUGAGUUUGUAAAAAUAGUGCACUUUACUACAAUAAUUAGCUACAAAAGCAUUUGGGUUUCAAG